CAGUCGCCGCGGGAAUACGUAGGUGGCAAGCGUUGUCCGGAAUUAUUGGGCGUAAAGCGCGCGCAGGCGGAUCAGUCAGUCUGUCUUAAAAGUUCGGGGCUUAACCCCGUGAUGGGAAAGAAACUAUGUGUCUUGAGUACAGGAGAGGAAAGCGGAAUUCCCAGUGUAGCGGUGAAAUGCGUAGAUAUUGGGAGGAACACCAGUGGCGAAGGCGGCUUUCUGGACUGCAACUGACGCUGAGGCUCGAAAGCCAGGGGAGCGAACGGGAUUAGAUACCCCUGUAGUCCCUGUCUCUUAUACC
Molecule: ribosomal RNA, 301 nt
Filed under: uncultured bacterium
Lineage: Bacteria
Description: partial 16S ribosomal RNA
Rfam family: Bacterial small subunit ribosomal RNA
Source: RNAcentral